CACCAGAAGACCAACAACUUGAACAUCUUUGAUCAAGUUAACCAUAUCAUAUAUGAGUUGACUUCACUGUCCACACUUCCACUUGUUUUUCUCGGUAAAGAUGAUUCAAGUACCUGCACACUUCCUUUGUCUCUAAAUAGAUGUCUCUUACUGCACCACAAAUGUCCAACAGCCUGACACAUCCAUCCAAGACCUGUUCUUCCCAUUUUGCCAGUCUUUCAUCAGAGAGAGCUUGUUAACUGAAAGGAAGCUGAACCACAUCAUCCAGACACUAAGACAAGUUGAGGCCAUCCAAUAUUUGGCCUGCCAAUGAAUGUGAAGUUGAGGAUGGCAUCUCUGAUGACUUCAAUCUUUACAGGUGUUUCUCAGCAGUCACGAUAAGAGGGUGAGAUGAAGGAGGCAAACUAACCAAACGAGAAUGGCUAGAGAAUUUUGGAUUUAGAGAAUGGCUAAACUGAACUGCCGUCGGUCAAGAUUCCUUUUGCUUUCCAGAUCGUGCAGGAGUUAGCCUAUUGUGGCAUUCGUGUUCAUCAGCUUCAAGAACUAUGAUAAAGAGAUGGACCAAUUGUUGUCUCAACUUUGGGAGCUAGAGCAAAUAUUGCGUAUUCUCUAGCAACUAUUAAAGCAACUUGGCAUAUGCAAUCAAAUGCUUCACCAUCUAAAGUUCUCAUCCAAUGACUGCAAGCAGUGAGCAUCAUCCCUCUAAGAGACGCAGGAUGUAUUGUGUUCGUCCAAGUAUGUAUUGCGUUCUGUAACCAACAUAAUUUGAUUAUGACAAGGAGGCGAGGUUGAAGUUGAACUUGUGCUCUAGCAGCAGUAUAUGCAGCAGCAUUUACAUUUGAUGGUGCCAGUAAAGAAGCAAAACAGAAGGAACAAUCUUCGCGAAAGGAACAAGAAUCAAUAGGACUAGGAUGCAAACAAACCAAGCAAUGCAUAAGGUGUCUGGUCCCCAGCUUGACCUGAGUUCAGGAUUGUCUGUGAGCUCAAUCUGGUUAAACAGCUAAACGACUCCAGCUUGAGUCUUUUUGUUUUUUCUCAAGAAGCUGUUGAGUUUAAUGAGUACGUAAUUCUCUAAUUUGUUUUGGAAAACACAAAUAUGUGUCAAGCAACUAGAGCUCAUUAUUUUGUUGAGCUUAUUCCAGUCAAA
This is a non-coding RNA of Coffea arabica (coffee), 1147 nucleotides long. The record is from RefSeq and is a predicted model, not a curated record. Lineage: Eukaryota; Viridiplantae; Streptophyta; Magnoliopsida; Gentianales; Rubiaceae.